GGCUGUGCUCCAGAGCAUUCAUGGGGGUGUGGGGACUGGACACUUUGGGGUCACAAAAACCCUCCGCCGCCUCUGUCAGGGCUUUUACUGGGGGCAGCACAAGAGGGAUGUGGAGGACUUUUGCCGCCGAUGUGACAAAUGCACAGCGGCGGCAAAAGCCCUCUAGGCCGUACUCAUGCUCAGCAGGAGGUGGAGUUUUGGACAGCGGAGCGGCAUGCCAUGAGGACCUUGGGCGGGUGCUUGUCCCAGUCACGCUGGUGUUUGGCAGAGACGAUGGCCAGCUGCUGUCCAAGCAUUUUGUUGAAGGGAGUGGAAAGACCGCUGGGUGCUCAUGGCCAUUGACUAUUUCACAAAAUGGCCCGAAGCCAAUGCUCUGCCUGACCAGGAGGCAGAGACCAUUGUCAACAACCUUGACAGCGGGGAUGUUCAGCAGGUUUGGAGCUGCGGAGUCCAUCCACAGUGACCAAGGAAGAGUCUUGUGUGUUCAGAUUUUAUUAGACACAUGCACCGAAUACAACAGGUGUAGACCUCACAGUGAAAUGCUUCCUUUGAGCCCCCAACCAACAAUGCAGUUUAAAAAAAUACGGAUAAGAAUAAGAGAUAAAAGUAACAAGUAAUUAAAGAGCAACAGUAAAACAACAAUAGCAAGACUAUAUACAGGGGGUACCGGUACAGAGUCAAUGUGCGGAGGCACCGGUUAUUUGAGGUAAUAUGUACAUCUAGGUAGAGUUAUUGAAGUAACUAUGCAUAGAUGACAACAACAGAGAGUAGCGGCAGUGUAAAGAGGGGGAGGGGGGGAAUGCAAUAGUCCAUUUGAUUAGAUGUUCAGGAGUCUUAUGGCUUGGGGGUAGAAGCUGUUUAGAAGCCUCUUGAACCUAGACUUGGCGCUCCGGUACCGCUUGCCGUGCGAUAGCAGAGAGAACAGUCUAUGACUAGGGUGACUGGAGUCUUCUGACAAUUUUUAGGGCCUUCCUCGGACACCGCUUGGUAGAGGUCCUGGAUGGCAGGAAGCUUCGCCCCAGUGAUGUACUGGGCCGUACGCACUACCCUCUGUAUCGCCUUGCGGUCAGAGGCCGAGCAGUUGCCAUAACAGGCAGUGAUGCAACCAGUCAGGAUGCUCUCGAUGGUGCAGCUGUAGAACCUUUUGAGGAUCUGAGGACCCAUGCCAAAUCUUUUCUGUCUCCUGAGGGGGAAUAGGCUUUGUCGUGCCCUCUUCACGACUGUCUUGGUGUGUUUGGACCAUUCUAGUUUUCCUAGCCACCGUGCUUCUACACCUGCAUUGCUUGCUGUUUGGGGUUUUAGGCAGGGUUUCUGUACAGCACUUUGAGAUAUCAGCUGAUGUAAGAAGGGCUAUAUAAAUACAUUUGAUUUGAUUUAGUUUGUUGUUGAUGUGGACACCAAGGAACUUGAAGCUCUCAACAUGCUCCACUACAGCCCAGUCGAUGAGAAUAGGGGCGUGCAAGCUAAUAACGUUAGUAUUUUGGACAACCAAAGUCAAAAUGAUUGAUGAAAUCGAAGUGUGUCAGCUAUAUGGUGAUUUGCGACUCAUUACUUCCAUUUUACCGAUACUGCCAGUAGUAGUAGGCCAACCGAUAACACCAAGACUGAAUGAGUUUGAAGUGGAUGCGCUGCCGAGAACAGCUAGCAUGUCCAGCAAUGUACAUCGCCAGUGGCACACACACACUUCAUGCAGAUCAGCAGCUCUACAAUGAUGUGAUCGACUGUCUCCCAGGUGGGGGCUUUUCGUGGCAGCCAGACGAGACAAUAGAAGGAGGAUGUGGUGAGCAAAGUUACCAGGGGCAGAGCCAGAGGGGUGUCCGGGGUGACACAGACAUCUGACGUGCCACACCGACAUUUCAUUCGCUACUGGCAGGUUGAUGCUGAUUGACAUCUUAUUUCACCUCUUAUUGAAAGAAGCAUUUAUUUUGACGUUUGGCGGCGCAUUUUUGAAAUCGAGGACGAGGAAGAGAGAAUAUUAACGUUAGCUGCGAGAUACAGAAAAAUAAAAAGAACAUACAGAAGAGAGAAUAUUUCCACAGCUCCACAAGCUCUUUUUACGAUUGGCGAAAGCAUCAUAUUUGAAGGUCAAUUAAAAAUGAAAAGAAAUGGAGAGAUAGACUUAUUUUUAAAGAAGCACAAAGAGGCAGAUCAGUUGCAAACAGACCCCAGCCCUUGUCUCACCACCGGACUCCAGAGAAGCUCCCUACCUGAGGGUAGUCAGAGUCAGUGUGGUCAGACAUCACAAGGACCCAUUCUACCACCACCAGGUCAGAGCAUCUGUAACCGAUGUGAAAAGGCUAGUUAGUUAGCGGUGGUGCGCGCUAAUAGCGUUUCAAUUGGUGACGUCACUCGCUCUGCGACCUUAAGUACUUGUUCUCCUUGUGCUGCAAGGGCCGCGGCUUUUGUGGCGCGAUGUGUAACGGUGCUUCGUGGGUGUCAGUUGUUGAUGUGCGCAGAGGGUCCCUGGUUCAAGCCCAGGUUGGGGCGAGGAGAGGGAUGGACGCUAUACUGUUACACAUCUACCAGGUAGUCAGUCACAUGCCCAGUUCAGAAUUUAAGUUUAGCUUCAGUUUGUAAUAGAUGAUUUUGUCAGAUUAAGCAUCACUUUAAAAUGUUGGCUCUUGAUUCAUGUGUACUUAUUUUGAUGGCUGUGGCAUUUUUAUUGUGAUUCUACACUAAUGGUUCUUGUGUUAUUGUAAUGUAAUAGAUGUAUCAAGGGAUGACACAGAGACCUCUGAGCAAGACAGUGAGCCAGAGCUGCCAGGAGAUGUCAUCGACCCCCUUCCAACUGCAUCAAGCACCAGAUAUGCUGUUCCAAAAGGACCCAAUGACAUUUCAAGAUCCAGAGAAGAGGGUCCUGUACAGCCGUGUUUGAAAACAUUUCCCAGAACUCAGCAUGGUACUAGGAAAGGGGCUUUCAACAGCUCCUGGUUUAAGGACAAUUCAUGGCUUGAAAAUUCUGUAAGUCAAGAUUCAACAUAUUGUUUCGCCUGUAGACAUUUUUCUCUGCCCAAUACACCUGAUUCUGCCUUCACAUCACAGUCAGGUUUUUGUAACUGGAAAAGGGUGCUGUUUAAAGAUUCUGGGUUAAAGCUCCAUUCGAAGGCAGAGCAUCAUAUCAAUGCUAUGUAUGCUUGGAAUCAGCAUAAAAGGGCUAUUGACAGCAACUUAUCAAUGUUAGAUGUCAUAAAUGAGGACCGGAAAAAGGAGGAAAACUGUACUUACAUUAAAACAAUUACAGAUGUGCUCCUGUUAACUGCCACUCAAAAUACAGCGCAGAGAGGUUAUUGAGAGUCUGAUGACUCUCACAACAAGGGUCAUUUUUUUGACAAUCUUAGAAGGAAUAGCAAAGAAUGACCCUCUCAUAGAGAAAAGGAUGAAUGCAUAUGGCAAUGCUAAGUACACAAGCCACCAAAUCCAGAAUGAAGUUCUUGAGGGCUUAGCUGAGAUGGUACAUCGUGAAAUAAUAAGACAAGUAAAAGAAAUGGAAGUUUUUAGUGUAAUUGCAGAUGAAACCAAAGAUUGAAAGAACAAAUGUCUUUAGUUGUGAGGUACUAUUACAACGGAACCAUCCACGAAAGCUUUCUACACUUUCAGUCAGCUGAAAGCUUAGAUGCAGCAGGCCUCAAAAAUUAUAAUUGAUUGCCUUGAAAAACAUGGUCUGGACUACAGAAAUAAUCUUGUGGGGCAAGGCUAUGACGGUGCAUCCGUCAUGAGCGGAAAGCAUUCUGGUGUGUCUGCAUGGAUUAAAAACAGUGCAAGAUUUGCAUUUUAUGUGCACUGUAAUGCACAUUGUUUGAAUUUGGUUCUUGUCGAUGCUGUAAAAUCAGUGCCUGAGGCAGUUAACUUUUUUGCUCUCCGGCAGAAGCUUUAGAACUUUGUAUUUGGCUCGUACGUUCAUCUCAAGUGGCUUGCAGUUCAGAAAGAGCAGUAUCCACAGCAGCAGCCCAGGGAACUACAGAGAUUUACGGAUGUAAGGUGGGCAUGCAUGACGUAAUCUGAGGGACAGGCUUCCAGCAGUUCUGAGAGUGCUAUAGAAUAUCACACUUGAAAAUAGUGGUGAUAGAUCAGUGGAGGCAAGGGGACCUUCUUUCUCAGAUAGAUUUACAUUUCAUAGGGCUUUUGGUUACCUUCUGUCAAGUGCUUGGUGAUGCCAAAUGUCUUUCUGACAUGCUCCAAUCAAGCUCUUUUGACCAAGCAAGGGCUGUGGAUCUAGUAGGUGCCCUUACAGACACAUUACAGGACUACAGAAGUGAGGGUUACUUUGGAGAAGUAUGGAAAGAGGUUGAAGAGAUUGCAGAGCACUGCAAAAUAAGUGUACAAACAGUGUGUAAAAGACAGCCUAAAACAAGCUUAAGAUUUCACGACUCAUUGAUGAUGAGCACUGUAGGACAGAAAAAUUGUGACCAAAGUGAUGGUGAGAGCUUCCAAAGAGCUAUCUUUUAUCAGGUGCUUGACAGUCUCACAGCUGAGGUGCAGAGGCGUUUUCAAAGAAGAAUUGCAACAUAAUGCAAGGGGUCCAGUCUCUCAACCCAAAGAGUACAACAUUCUUCAAUGAGGAGACUCUGUUUGCCUUUGCUCAGACCUUUGAGUCAGAUUUAGAGGACCUCAAACAUGAGGUUCAUCAAACCAAGCGGCUUCUUGAUAGGACAGAGAAAAGUGGAAGGGACAGACCGUCUACUCUCUUUGACUUUUUUGUGUUUCUAGAACCUUAUAAAGAGGUCUUCCAUGAGCUAUUUCGACUUUGUAAGGUUUCUGUUGUUACAUCAGUCAGCAGUGCUUCUUGCGAGAGAAGCUUCUCAGCUUUAAUACUGAUUAAAACCCACCUUAGGACAACAAUGGUUGAUGACAGAUUAAGUCACCUUGGAAUUCUCAGUGUUGAGUCAAGGAGGGCACGCUCCCUCGACAUGGAUGAGUUUGUGAAACAUUUUGCCAGGACUCACCAGAAAUUACCUAGGAUAAUUUGGCACUUAGGCGGUCCCGCUGGUCAUGAUUAAAACCUGCACUGUGUACUAGCUAGUACACUGACAUUCUAAAAUGAUACAUCCAAAGGGUAUCAUGUCACACAGAUUUCAUUUGGUCUUGAUUAGGCCAAUUCCAAAACUUUCCUUUGCUAUUAGUUAGCAUAAUAUAUAUGAGCAUAAAUAUGAUACUGUAAGUUUAAUAUUGAUGGGCACCAAAAUAAUUUGUAUUUUUCCAAGUCCAUUUAUGCUUAAUACCUGGAAUGUCAAAUUGCAGUGUGUUUUAUUUGUAAAUGUACUUUUUUUGUAAAUAAACUAUGCAAUUUAUG
RNAcentral lists this long non-coding RNA (5290 nucleotides) under Salmo salar (Atlantic salmon). Its description in RNAcentral is "lncRNA (ENSSSAG00000098623.1, ENSSSAG00000113591.1)". Lineage: Eukaryota; Metazoa; Chordata; Actinopteri; Salmoniformes; Salmonidae. The record is from RNAcentral.